RNAcentral lists this ribosomal RNA (269 nucleotides) under Escherichia coli. RNAcentral describes it as "partial 23S ribosomal RNA". It matches the Rfam family "Bacterial large subunit ribosomal RNA", at positions 1503 to 1769 of the family's 2925-position model. The record is from RNAcentral. Lineage: Bacteria; Pseudomonadati; Pseudomonadota; Gammaproteobacteria; Enterobacterales; Enterobacteriaceae.
UGUCCCGGUUUAAGCGUGUAGGCUGGUUUUCCAGGCAAAUCCGGAAAAUCAAGGCUGAGGCGUGAUGACGAGGCACUACGGUGCUGAAGCAACAAAUGCCCUGCUUCCAGGAAAAGCCUCUAAGCAUCAGGUAAUAUCAAAUCGUACCCCAAACCGACACAGGUGGUCAGGUAGAGAAUACCAAGGCGCUUGAGAGAACUCGGGUGAAGGAACUAGGCAAAAUGGUGCCGUAACUUCGGGAGAAGGCACGCUGAUAUGUAGGUGAAGUC